GAUGAACGCUGGCGGCGUGCCUAACACAUGCAAGUCGAACGGAAACUACGGACGGAAGUCUUCGGAUGGAGGACUGUACUUCUUAGUGGCGGACGGGUGAGUAACGCGUGGUCAACCUGCCCUCUACAGGGGGAUAGCAGCUGGCAACUGCUGGUAACACCGCAUAAGUCGGCGCGACCGCAUGGUGUUGCCGGGGAAUGAGCAAUCAGGUAUAGGAUGGGGCCGCGUGCGAUUACCCAGUUGGCAGGGUAAAAGCCUACGAAAGGAACGAUCGGUAGCCGGGCAGAGAGGCAGGGCGGCGACAUUGGGACGGAGAAGCAGCGGGAAAUUUUACGGGAGGGAGGAGUGGGGGAUAUAGCGAAAUGGAGGAAGCGAUGAAGCAGCGAGGCUGGGUAAGUGAAGAAGUAUGUCGGUAUGUAAAGCUCUAUCAGAAGGGCAGAGGAUGACGGUACCUGAAUAAGAAGCCCCGGCUAACUACGUG
This 481-nucleotide ribosomal RNA is filed under the name uncultured bacterium. RNAcentral's name for it is "partial 16S ribosomal RNA". It matches the Rfam family "Bacterial small subunit ribosomal RNA", at positions 28 to 507 of the family's 1533-position model. The record is from RNAcentral.